RNAcentral lists this ribosomal RNA (207 nucleotides) under uncultured bacterium. RNAcentral's name for it is "partial 16S ribosomal RNA". It matches the Rfam family "Bacterial small subunit ribosomal RNA", at positions 568 to 774 of the family's 1533-position model. The record is from RNAcentral.
CUCGUAGGUGGUUGGUCACGUCUGCUGUGGAAACGCAACGCUUAACGUUGCGCGUGCAGUGGGUACGGGCUGACUAGAGUGCAGUAGGGGAGUCUGGAAUUCCUGGUGUAGCGGUGAAAUGCGCAGAUAUCAGGAGGAACACCGGUGGCGAAGGCGGGACUCUGGGCUGUAACUGACACUGAGGAGCGAAAGCAUGGGGAGCGAACA